Molecule: long non-coding RNA, 1429 nt
Organism: Cyprinus carpio carpio
Lineage: Eukaryota; Metazoa; Chordata; Actinopteri; Cypriniformes; Cyprinidae
Source: Ensembl
AUUUUGUGUUUUAUAUAUAUAUAUACAUACAGCAAUAAAAUCUCAAAAUAAAAGUCAUGAGAAAAGUUUCCAGUACAAUUUAGGUCCUAAAAUCCUUCGUAAAUAAAAGUGCCUGCCGUUAAAGGAUCACACAGAUAGAAUAAAGCAGCAUAAUGCUAAAGGGUCCUGACAUUCUUACCAUGAGCCUUCAGUUAUUUGACCACUUAGAUGCUAAUGCUAACAUAUAAUCCAUUUUCUAAGAUGCAUACGAGUUUUCCAUUAUAGCACCAACAAAGCUAGGCCUCUCAGUAAGUCUUUUCUUGUAGCAGUAAGUAUUCAGUUUUCUCUCUUGUGGUCAAUAGAAGCACAAUGGCAAUCAGGGGGCAAAGUGGAUUUCAGCAGGUAUCAGUCAUUCUCUUUCUAGCAAUUAGCCUAGCGCUAUUACUACGCACUGAUAUCUGCUGAGACAGGCACUAAAACUCCGGCUGACACAGACCAGCUGAUUAGCCAAGCUUAAUUAGCCACGAUGCCUUUUAAAUGGGGAAAUCUGACUCUGCCUUUAAACCUCAGUUGGGACCAGAGACUGCGGAGCUACAAAGACCAUUUCAGUACCUUAAUGAUGCCAAAAUGGACCGCUUCAGACCACAGAGAGAAAUCAAGUGCGGCCGCGCAUCGUGGAUAAUAACCAAUUGGAAAAGAUCUUUGCGUCGUGGCCAGUUGUUAAUUACUGGAUGCCGGUCUCGAGGGAUCGCCCCGCUUCUGUCAUACUGGAAAACAUCCUCAGGACUGUGGGCCAGUGAAGCUCAAAGAGCCAGCAAACACAGCCUGGAGUGGAUCCACACAACACUGGCCGCUUCUAACAGACCUGCUCUAACCCCAGGAUCUAAUUACUUACUCGCAUCUCUCCUAUCAUCUCCCGCUUCCUCCAGCAGGAUCCCCAUGGGUCUCUUGAGCUCAGACCCACACGUAACACACUGACAUGGGGGAAGAGCUCAACCUCCGGCCCGACAACUGCUAGAAUCCCUAUAAAAGCAUCAUAUAGAUCACACAAACUCCUACAGACUGAUAUUUUGUCUUGAUAAUGUUAAAUAAAAUCUGAGAUGUAAACUAAAUCAGUUAAUAAACGACUUUAGGCUAUGUUUACUCCAAACACAUUCUCCAAAAAAGUUUGUUUGCUACAGUUUGAAUAAAAAGUACACGACAUGCAAGCUAAAAAACAAACAGAAUUGCCUGAAGAUGUGUACGAUCUUAUAUAUACAGUGUAUAGACCUUUUCAAAUUAAUGUUAUUCAGUAAGAUUAGUAUAAUUAUGAGCAUCUUUAAUCAGGAUCAAUUUCAUGUUUAUCUAAUGAAUAAAUUAGGAUAAUUUUAAGUUUUAUAAAUUAAAUAAUUUUGUUUUAUUAACAUUAUACUUAAAUUAUAUAUAUAUAUAUAUAUAUAUAUAUAUAUAU